Molecule: ribosomal RNA, 253 nt
Filed under: uncultured bacterium
Lineage: Bacteria
Description: partial 16S ribosomal RNA
Rfam family: Bacterial small subunit ribosomal RNA
Source: RNAcentral
UACGUAGGGUGCAAGCGUUGUCCGGAAUUAUUGGGCGUAAAGAGCUCGUAGGCGGUUUGUCGCGUCGAAUGUGAAAACCCGGGGCUCAACCCCGGGCCUGCAUUCGAUACGGGCAGACUAGAGUUCGGUAGGGGAGUCUGGAAUUCCUGGUGUAGCGGUGAAAUGCGCAGAUAUCAGGAGGAACACCGAUGGCGAAGGCAGGUCUCUGGGCAUUAACUGACGCUGAGGAGCGAAAGCGUGGGGAGCGAACAGG